GGGGUUACGAUGAGUAAACGAAACACUAAAACGCUAGAUAGUAUCUGAAAGCAUUAUUUAUGAUUGUGUGUUAUAAACAGAAAUAUCUCUGAACCCC
RNAcentral lists this small nucleolar RNA (97 nucleotides) under Zygosaccharomyces rouxii. RNAcentral's name for it is "snR65". It matches the Rfam family "Small nucleolar RNA snR65". Lineage: Eukaryota; Fungi; Ascomycota; Saccharomycetes; Saccharomycetales; Saccharomycetaceae. The record is from RNAcentral.